RNAcentral lists this ribosomal RNA (253 nucleotides) under uncultured bacterium. Its description in RNAcentral is "partial 16S ribosomal RNA". It matches the Rfam family "Bacterial small subunit ribosomal RNA", at positions 524 to 776 of the family's 1533-position model. The record is from RNAcentral.
UACGGAGGGUGCAGGCGUUAAUCGGAAUUACUGGGCGUAAAGCGUGCGCAGGCGGUUUGUUAAGUCCGCUGUGAAAUCCCCGAGCUCAACUUGGGAAUUGCAGUGGAUACUGGCAAGCUGGAGUAUGGUAGAGGAAGGUGGAAUUCCCGGUGUAGCAGUGAAAUGCGUAGAGAUCGGGAGGAACACCAGUGGCGAAGGCGGCCUUCUGGACCAAUACUGACGCUCAUGCACGAAAGCGUGGGGAGCAAACAGG